GCAAUUCUGCUGCCUCAGCCUCCAGAGUAGCUGGGACUACAGAUUGGUUUCUGAUACUAAAUUGGCCUCUAGAGUUGGGCAGAAAGACUCAUCGCUACAGGUUGUCUACAUGCCUCAGUCAUUGCCCUUCUAUGUGUGUAGUUACUUGUAAAUAGUAAUAUCAGAAAAUAUGCACUUUCAAAUAGAAUCACAUUUUAUCUAGCUUUUAGCAUAACCAAAGAUUACAUUAAUAAAUGAGCUAAAUAUUAGUCACAUUUUGCUACCUAGAGAUGGCUAGUUAAUUCAUUAAUUAACUUAAACAGUUAAUAAAUACCUGUUAGAUGGCAGAGAUCAGUUCCCUGUUCUCAAAGAAGGAAACUACAGACACUGGGUUCUCCUUGAGGGUGGAGGGUGGAAGGAGGGAGAGGAGCAGAAAAGAUCAGUGUUGGGCACUGGGUUUCAUACCUGGGUGAUGAAAUAAUCUGUACAUCAAGCCCCCCAUGACAUGAGUUUACCUGUGUAACAAACCUUCAUAUGUACCUCCUAACCUAAAAUAAAGGCUUUUUUAAAAAA
This 552-nucleotide long non-coding RNA is filed under the name Homo sapiens (human). Its description in RNAcentral is "HSALNT0391877". Lineage: Eukaryota; Metazoa; Chordata; Mammalia; Primates; Hominidae. The record is from RNAcentral.